This 261-nucleotide ribosomal RNA is filed under the name uncultured archaeon. Its description in RNAcentral is "partial 16S ribosomal RNA". It matches the Rfam family "Archaeal small subunit ribosomal RNA", at positions 748 to 1008 of the family's 1478-position model. The record is from RNAcentral.
CAGCCGUAAACUAUGCGCGUUAGGUGUACUGGUGACCACGAGUCACCGGGGUGCCGAAGGGAAACCGUGAAACGUGCCGCCUGGGAAGUACGGUCGCAAGGCUGAAACUUAAAGAAAUUGGCGGGGGAGCACCACAACGGGUGGAGCCUGCGGUUUAAUUGGACUCAACGCCGGAAAUCUCACCGGAUAGGACAGACAUAUGAUAGUCGGGCUGAAGACUCUACUUGAUGAUCUGAGAGGAGGUGCAUGGCGUCAGUGACU